RNAcentral lists this ribosomal RNA (492 nucleotides) under uncultured bacterium. RNAcentral's name for it is "partial 16S ribosomal RNA". It matches the Rfam family "Bacterial small subunit ribosomal RNA", at positions 29 to 507 of the family's 1533-position model. The record is from RNAcentral.
AGUGAACGCUGGCGGUAGGCCUAACACAUGCAAGUCGAACGGCAGCACAGUAAGAGCUUGCUCUUACGGGUGGCGAGUGGCGGACGGGUGAGGAAUACAUCGGACUCUACUUUUUCGUGGGGGAUAACGUAGGGAAACUUACGCUAAUACCGCAUACGACCUACGGGUGAAAGCAGGGGAUCUUCGGACCUUACGCGAUUGAAUGAGCCGAUGUCGGAUUAGCUAGUUGGCGGGGUAAAGGCCCACCAAGGCGACGAUCCGUAGCUGGUCUGAGAGGAUGAUCAGCGACACUGGAACUGAGACACGGUCCAGACCCCUACGGGAGGCAGCAGUGGGGAAUAUGGGACAAUGGGCGCAAGCCUGAUCCAGCCAGACCGCGUGGGUGAAGAAGGCCUUCGGGUUGUAAAGCCCUUUUGUUGGGAAAGAAAAGCAGCAGGUUAAUACCCCGCUGUUCUGACGGUACCCAAAGAAUAAGCACCGGCUAACUACGUG